AGCUCGAUAGCUAAGUUGGUAAAGCGCUCGUCUAGCACAUAAGAGUCGUGAGUUUGAAUCCCACCUGAGCAC
Molecule: non-coding RNA, 72 nt
Organism: Aedes aegypti (yellow fever mosquito)
Lineage: Eukaryota; Metazoa; Arthropoda; Insecta; Diptera; Culicidae
Source: Rfam